This is a long non-coding RNA of Daphnia magna, 1801 nucleotides long. RefSeq lists it as uncharacterized. The record is from RefSeq and is a predicted model, not a curated record. NCBI's taxonomy places the organism in Eukaryota, Metazoa, Arthropoda, Branchiopoda, Diplostraca, Daphniidae. The transcript is spliced from 3 exons.
AUCCAAUCCAGAAUGAUCUAGUUAUUUUCUUCGUUUUAGUCCAUUGUCUGCAUGUCCAUCCUUUCCAAGUAGCUCUUGGUUUCAUCGUAGUCACCAAAGUGUAGGCACUCGGUAUUUUCAGUUAGUGUUGCAUUUCAGCUUUCCCGUUGUCACAGUAGUAAGGCGAUUCAAUGUCCAGGAUUCCUCGAAUAUUCACGUUAUUACAAUCACAGAUGGAUGCGUAGAUAGGGUAAGUAGGGUUAAGUGAAUGAAGGAAGCAAAGAAUGAGUAGUAGUGUUUGCAUCUGUGGAGAAAAUGUGAGGAUUUGGUAAUUUUUUUCUUCAUAACGCCUUCGUAAGUUGUGUCGGUGGUUUGUUAUAUGGUCGUUUAGGAUUUGUUCACGGUAUCGGUUGGGUGUUAUGGGACCGAGGAAAAGGACGAACGUCCUGGGAUCGUCGGCUCGACGACGAAGAGGAAAAGAAAAGGACGCUGGACUAGGGAGAGUCGAGCGGAGUAUCGAGUUCAGUACGAUGCUCGACAGUCAUUGUAUUGUUCUAGUGUCGAAACCAUAAAACAUUUCAUCUGUAUAAAACGUUAUGGGCCCAGUCGACGAUUUUAUUUAAUAAAAUCAUACUCUAGAAUGGCUGCUAACUUUUCAUUAGAGGUGAUUGAACACACCAGAAAGUUCGAUGGUAAAGACUUUACUACCUGGAAACACAACAUGGAGAUGAUGUUCUAUCUUAAGAACUUGAAACAUCGUUGAGGGUGAGCAUCUACUCACAGUUCGAUGAAAAUGUAGGAAAUCCUAUGCUUGUCAAUGGUGACGAGAUAGAUGAAUGGAAAAUGAGAGAUUGCUAUGGAAGGUUCCUCAUCUUUAAUAGCUGUGACGAAGUUAGAAAACUCGUGCUACUUAACAGCAGAACUAGCAACGAAAUGUGGACUAGAUUGAAGACACAGUUUUUACAGCGUGCAGCUGAUAAUAAACAUCUUUUGCACAGAGAUUUUCUCAAUCUUCGACCGACACCCAGUCAAGACAUAAUGAUCCACAUCUUCGCACUAGAAUCGAUUGCUGCGGAACUUAACGAUCUAGGUGUGAACAUCACUGAACAUGACUUAAUUACCACGAUCAUUUGCAGUCUUCCUGCAAGAUUUGGAUUUCUCUCAUCAUCGUGUGAUAAUGUACCAAACAACGAAAGAACUAUGGAUGCCCUGCGAGCUAGAAUUGUUUCAGAGCAAAGACAUUGAAGUGAAAAGAGUGGAAGAAGAGGGAAACCACAUCCCAUCAAAUGAAAUCAUGAUCAAUGCUCUUCAAGGAUUUGGGAGUCAAAGAGGAUCUUUGAAUCGUAGGCUUCGAGGUGGUUGCAGUCGUGGUAGGGGUCCCCCACGAGAUUCGUUUAAUAGAAACAAUGCAAAGUGUACCUAUUGUGGGAAAAAAAGAUACUACGAAUUUGUAUGUCGACUUCGCAUUGCUAACCAAGGAGAGAAGCAACCCUCUCUGACUAAAAGACCCAAUAACGAUGGAGAAGGGAGUGACUCUCAGCGACGAGUGGAUUUCUCCCUCAUUUCCGAUUGCUGUUUGUCAGCUAUUGAGGCUGAUGCUAUUGUUCUAGACUCUGGAGCAUCUAGAGACAUGAGUGGAGAACGUUCAUACUUCGUGGAACUGAGUGACAUCACACCUGGUAGUUGGCCGAUUAAUGGCAUUGGGGGUUAACUUCUUCAUGCUGUUGGAAUGGAAACCAUCAAGUUGACUACCAGUGUAAAAGGAGUAAACGUCAAUAGAGAAUUGAAAAAUGUCCUAUGCGUUCCUGGUUUGGGGGUGACU